UUGCGGUUAAAAAGCUCGUAGUUGGAUCUCGGCAAGUAGAGGGCGGUAUGCUUCGUAGCAUUACUGCCCUAUUACUUGUAGUUUUGCCAGAGGUUCCUGGGUGCUCUUAAUCGAGUGUCUAGGGAUGCUGGCAGGUUUACUUUGAAAAAAUUAGAGUGCUCAAAGCAGGCUAUUACGCUUGAAUAUUCGUGCAUGGAAUAAUAGAAUAGGAAGUUGUUUCUAUUUUGUUGGUUUUCGGAAAUCGACUUAAUGAUUAAUAGGGACAGUCGGGGGCAUUUGUAUUCAAACGACAGAGGUGAAAUUCUUGGACCGUUUGAAGACAAACUACUGCGAAAGCAUUUGCCAAGAAUGUUUUCAUUAAUCAAGAACGAAAGUUAGAGGUUCGAAGGCGAUUAGAUACCGCCCUAGUUCUAACCAUAAACGAUGCCAGCUAGCGAUCUGAGGACGUUUUUUUUGUAGACUCCUCAGGAAGCUUCCGGGAAACCAAAGCGUGUGGGUUCCGGGGGAAGUAUGGUUGCAAAGCUGAAACUUAAAGGGAAUUGACGGAAGGGCACCACCAGGAGUGGAGCCUGCGGCUUAAUUUGACUCAACACGGGAAAUCUCACC
RNAcentral lists this ribosomal RNA (606 nucleotides) under uncultured marine eukaryote. RNAcentral describes it as "SSU rRNA". It matches the Rfam family "Eukaryotic small subunit ribosomal RNA", at positions 613 to 1219 of the family's 1831-position model. The record is from RNAcentral.